This 895-nucleotide unclassified non-coding RNA is filed under the name Bombus terrestris (buff-tailed bumblebee). RNAcentral describes it as "misc RNA ENSBTSG00005033549.1". The record is from RNAcentral. Lineage: Eukaryota; Metazoa; Arthropoda; Insecta; Hymenoptera; Apidae.
AUCAAAUCGAUACACUAAAAAGCAAUCAGACAAAUAACUGUAUCUUCAAGUAGUAUUCUAAAAAAUUCAGGAUUUAUAUAAUUUACACGUACGAAUAUAAAUCACGUUGUUUAUGGCCGAGGAAACGUACAUGUAAUUCGAUUCCACGUAACAAAAAUAGCCAGUCUUGUAUUUACCCUAAUACAGGCGUUGUUGGGACUCGCGAUUCAUUACAAUUAACGAAAACCGUGGUAUGCCAAUACGAUGAUGGACUCAAUUAGAAAAUGGCGUGGUUGGGGGUGGUUGUGUACAUCGAAUGCGCUCUUCCUUCUUCGUCUGUGGUUCAUCGACGAACGCGCGCAGGCAUCGCUGGUAGAUAUUUAAUUAAAGUUGUUUGCGCGACCAAGUUUGGAAACUUUGGGAAUAAGUUACCGGCGGGAAUCAGCGAAGGGGCCAUUUAAUUGUCCUCGCGUUUAAUGCGCCGAAUGGCCCGGGAGUUAUACUCGUCAUCAUGUCACCGGAAGUCACCGGAUGGGUGGGCUGAGUAGUAAACGCGUCAACGGGCAAGAAAAGAACCACACGAGCGUGUUGCGAUUUUCGUGAAAAGUAUCUCGUCCUUAACCCAUUUGCACCGGUUUCUUUUAUAUCGUUGCGUUGGCAAGGUGCUACACGCGAAACGUUAAUUUACUCUGUCGCAUACACAUAUAUACAUGUAUAUAUGUAAAUAUAUAGAUAUACUUUUAUCGCAAUUACACAGAGAAAAAUUUUGUACGUCACGCUUUUCAUGUUCCUCGAAGUUGACGGUGACAUCACAAUGCGACCCUCUUGCGUUUUAUUUUUAAUUUGCGCCGAUAUCGAAGCCAAAUCCGUGCGUCCGUCGCCGUUGUUUUAUGCCGCUCGUAAUUAUACGAAGACA